RNAcentral lists this ribosomal RNA (415 nucleotides) under uncultured prokaryote. Its description in RNAcentral is "bacterial SSU rRNA". It matches the Rfam family "Bacterial small subunit ribosomal RNA", at positions 505 to 918 of the family's 1533-position model. The record is from RNAcentral.
GUGUCAGCCGCCGCGGUAAUACGGAGGGUGCAAGCGUUGUUCGGAAUCACUGGGCGUAAAGCGGGUGUAGGCGGUUUGGCAAGUCAGGUGUGAAAGCCCGGGGCUCAACCCCGGAAGUGCACUUGAUACUGCCAUCCUUGAGUACGGGAGAGGAGAGUGGAAUUCCCGGUGUAGAGGUGAAAUUCGUAGAUAUCGGGAGGAACACCCGUGGCGAAGGCGACUCUCUGGACCGAUACUGACGCUGAGACCCGAAAGCGUGGGGAGCAAACAGGAUUAGAUACCCUGGUAGUCCACGCCGUAAACGAUGAGAACUAGGUGUAGCGGGUAUUGACCCCUGCUGUGCCGAAGCUAACGCAUUAAGUUCUCCGCCUGGGGAGUACGGCCGCAAGGCUAAAACUCAAAUGAAUUGACGGGG